UCGUCAGCUCGUGUCGUGAGAUGUUGGGUUAAGUCCCGCAACGAGCGCAACCCUUAUCCUCUGUUGCCAGCACUUCGGGUGGGAACUCAGAGGAGAAAAACCAGUUAUAAACUGGAGGAAGGCGGGGAUGACGUCAAGUCAUCAUGGCCCUUACGGCCAGGGCUACACACGUGCUACAAUGGGGCGUACAGAGGGAAGCCAAGCCGUGAGGCGGAGCGGAUCUCACAAAGCGUCCCGUAGUUCGGAUUGAAGUCUGCAACUCGGCUUCAUGAAGUCGGAAUCGCUAGUAAUCGCGAAUCAGAAUGUCGCGGUGAAUACGUUCCCGGGCCUUGUACACACCGCCCGUCACACCAUGGGAGCGGAAUGCACCAGAAGCAGCUUGCUUAACAGCAAUGAGGGCGGCUGCCUCCGUGUGUGAGGGUGUAACUGGGGUGAAGUCGUAACAAGGUAACCGUA
This 456-nucleotide ribosomal RNA is filed under the name uncultured bacterium. RNAcentral's name for it is "bacterial SSU rRNA". It matches the Rfam family "Bacterial small subunit ribosomal RNA", at positions 1052 to 1504 of the family's 1533-position model. The record is from RNAcentral.